UACGAAGGGGGCUAGCGUUGCUCGGAAUCACUGGGCGUAAAGGGUGCGUAGGCGGAUCUUUAAGUCAGGGGUGAAAUCCCAAGGCUCAACCUUGGAACUGCCUUUGAUACUGGGGAUCUCGAGUCCGGAAGAGGUUGGUGGAACUGCGAGUGUAGAGGUGAAAUUCGUAGAUAUUCGCAAGAACACCAGUGGCGAAGGCGGCCAACUGGUCCGGUACUGACGCUGAGGUGCGAAAGCGUGGGGAGCAAACAGG
This 253-nucleotide ribosomal RNA is filed under the name uncultured bacterium. RNAcentral's name for it is "partial 16S ribosomal RNA". It matches the Rfam family "Bacterial small subunit ribosomal RNA", at positions 524 to 776 of the family's 1533-position model. The record is from RNAcentral.